CAUUCGCCAUUGUUUAUGCCCUCGUAGUGACUCGUUGCCAGAUCGGACAUUUUCUCGUGAUAUUCAGUGUGAAACAGACGAAUUCACCAUGUAAUCUGUCAAUUUCUAUCUUCUCCCUCGGUGUCCAAUGAAAGUACCACGGCUUGCCGCGAAACUGAUCCAACCUGUCAUUUUCUAUUGAACUUAUAAAUACAACAGCGGGUUACCAAUGUCACAUAUUUGUGUUAGUUACCAUCAGCAAACGUACUGUUAACAACCAUCUUCGCGAUUUAAACAAAAGAAACACAUAACUAGGAAACGGUGCUGAUUUUUGGUUUCCGGAAUGACUUAAUUAACCUCGUCGGUGUUGGGAGCGUGACCUUUCUCGAGGGUGGAGAUACUGUUAACGUUUGUGUGAAGAAGGAAACGUGUUUCCAUCAUGUGGAAUUUUGGUGUUUUGUUAGUUGGUAUCAGUGUGGUGGUGGUUAGUGCGGGUAUGGAUAUUCUUCCUUCAUCCUCCAUAGUGACGUCAUCACCAAACAUAAGACCCUCCAAUGAAACAGCGACCCCCGUGUCUAAGGACGUAAAUGAAAGGCAAAUCGAAGACACUUCUGCGACGGAUUUUGUAGAUGAGAUGCUCAACCUUUUCGUUCAGUUUGUCAGCAAUGAUAAAGAUGCAAGUUCGAUCGGUCAAGAAGAGUCUAAACUGGUUAACAAUGUAUCUGAAGGCAGAGGAGUUGGCCGGCUAAAGAAAUUCCUACUACCAUUCCUGUUGGGCGUCUCAAUGAAGACGAAAGCUGUGAUCAUAGCGGCCAUCGGGUUCCUGAUGGUUCUCACGAAAAUCACGUUCAUCAAGAGCAAGAUAGCGCUCGUGAUCGGAGUGGGUCUGCUCCUGUACCACCUUUACGUGAAGAAACACGCCAUCCACCACAUCAAGCACGCCCUCCACCACCCGGUGCCGUACGACGUGUCGCCCGCCUGGUCGGCGCCCCUCGCCGCUUGGGCCAUCCCCGAUUGGGGCGCUGCAGCCGCCCUCCCCGCCGCCGGCCACCUCGCCGCCGCCCACUACGUCCCCCACAUCCUCCGCAAAACGUCCCACGAGCAACCGACCCGAUUCCGCAGAUGAUCAUCCCCCAUGUUCCCGAUUUAGGUUAGGUAAUUUAUUUCUUAGUAAUUAGUCGAUUCUGUAAAAUACACCAUCAUUCCUAUCAAAGAAUUUUAUUCCACUAAGUCGUUUCACCCCUACCUCAGUAGCACUGACUAUAAAUGUUGAACUCAGAAAGAAAGAAAAAAUCAAAUUGAUGAAAUGUACCAUGUUACCGAAACCCAUUUUUCAAUUAAAAUUCACGGAAAAUACACUUUUGAAAAAUAAUUAAAAAAUUGGCAUAACAAUUUCGUGAAGUUCUAAAAAUCAUUCAUAAUUAGUGUUUACCAUCAGCUAAGCACAACCACAAAAUAUGUAUAACAUAAUGAAACUAAAAAUGUAAAAUUGUUGGUAAAAUUUACUAAAAUAGAGUGAUAUAUAUACCUGUAAAAGUUUAGGGUGGCCUUUUUACGCACAGGAGAACAAAAUGGGUUUCCCAAGUCGGAUGUUCUAACAGUUUUUCAGUUUUCUCUUCGAAAUUUACGAGUUUGUUUGACUAUUUUUUCAUGGUCAACGCUAAAAAAGAAGUUAAAUAUUG
RNAcentral lists this long non-coding RNA (1661 nucleotides) under Bemisia tabaci. RNAcentral describes it as "lncRNA ENSASIAIIG009515". The record is from RNAcentral. Lineage: Eukaryota; Metazoa; Arthropoda; Insecta; Hemiptera; Aleyrodidae.